GAAAUGCGAUAAGUAAUGUGAAUUGCAGAAUUCAGUGAAUCAUCGAAUCAUUGAACGCACCUUGCGCUCCUUGGUAUUCCUUGGAGCAUGCCUGUUUGAGUAUCAUGAAAUCUUCAAAGUAAAUCUUUUGUUAACUCAAUUGGUUUCUACUUUGGUAUUGGAGGUCUUUGCAGCUUCACACCUGCUCCUCUUUGUUCAUUAGCUGGAUCUCAGUGUUAUGCUUGGUUCCACUCGGCGUGAUAAAUUAUCUAUCGCUGAGGACACUGUAAAAGGUGGCCAAGGUAAAUGCAGAUGAACCGCUUCUAAUAGUCCAUUGACUUGGACAAUACUUUUAUGAUCUGAUCUCAAAUCAGGUAGGACUACCCGCUGAACUUAAGC
RNAcentral lists this unclassified non-coding RNA (378 nucleotides) under plant metagenome. RNAcentral describes it as "partial contains 5.8S ribosomal RNA, internal transcribed spacer 2, and large subunit ribosomal RNA". The stretch from base 1 to 105 matches the Rfam family "5.8S ribosomal RNA", at positions 50 to 154 of the family's 154-position model. The record is from RNAcentral.